AAUCCGAGAAUUUCACCUCUAACGCAGCAAUACAAAUGCCCCCGUCUGUUCCUAUUAGUCAUUAUCUCCGCUCCUAAAACCAACAAAAUAGAACCGAGAUCCUAUUCCAUUAUUCCAUGCACCACUAUUCGGGCAGUAUCGCCUGUUUUGAGCACUCUAAUUUUUUCAAAGUAAAUCCGCUAGCCACCCAUGACACUCAAUUAAGAGCACCAUGAGAAAACCAGCAAUAGUAUCGGUAGCUUCAGUACUGCUCAUGAGAGAGACCGAGGCUUUCCGAUUUAAGUCAACUACGAGCUUUUUAACAGCAGCAACAUUGGUAUAUGCUACUGGAGCUGGAAUUACCGC
Molecule: unclassified non-coding RNA, 345 nt
Filed under: uncultured bacterium
Lineage: Bacteria
Description: contains 16S-23S intergenic spacer region
Source: RNAcentral